UAUUCUGCCCAUGCGGGAAGGAUGAGAAGCUUCAACUAAGGUUCGAUUCGAGCGUCAGCGAGAAAGCGUUGCCGCAGGCAACGACCCGAAGGGCGAAGCGCGCAGCGCGGAGUCAUCCUUCCCCCACCACCA
Molecule: small RNA, 132 nt
Filed under: Citrobacter werkmanii
Lineage: Bacteria; Pseudomonadati; Pseudomonadota; Gammaproteobacteria; Enterobacterales; Enterobacteriaceae
Also listed under: 2 other names
Description: RtT sRNA
Rfam family: RtT RNA
About the family: This family represents a bacterial cis-regulatory element known as RtT RNA.
Source: RNAcentral